CGGGAGGCAGCAGUAGGGAAUCUUCCGCAAUGGACGAAAGUCUGACGGAGCAACGCCGCGUGAGUGAUGAAGGUUUUCGGAUCGUAAAGCUCUGUUGUUAGGGAAGAACAAGUACCGUUCGAAUAGGGCGGUACCUUGACGGUACCUAACCAGAAAGCCACGGCUAACUACGUGCCAGCAGCCGCGGUAAUACGUAGGUGGCAAGCGUUGUCCGGAAUUAUUGGGCGUAAAGGGCUCGCAGGCGGUUUCUUAAGUCUGAUGUGAAAGCCCCCGGCUCAACCGGGGAGGGUCAUUGGAAACUGGGGAACUUGAGUGCAGAAGAGGAGAGUGGAAUUCCACGUGUAGCGGUGAAAUGCGUAGAGAUGUGGAGGAACACCAGUGGCGAAGGCGACUCUCUGGUCUGUAACUGACGCUGAGGAGCGAAAGCGUGGGGAGCGAACAGGAUUAGAUACCCUGGUAGUCCACGCCGUAAACGAUGAGUGCUAAGUGUUAGGGGGUUUCCGCCCCUUAAUGCUGCAGCUAACGCAUUAAGCACUCCCGCCUGGGGAG
This 549-nucleotide ribosomal RNA is filed under the name Bacillus tequilensis. RNAcentral describes it as "bacterial SSU rRNA". It matches the Rfam family "Bacterial small subunit ribosomal RNA", at positions 342 to 880 of the family's 1533-position model. The record is from RNAcentral. Lineage: Bacteria; Bacillati; Bacillota; Bacilli; Caryophanales; Bacillaceae.